Molecule: long non-coding RNA, 656 nt
Filed under: Homo sapiens (human)
Lineage: Eukaryota; Metazoa; Chordata; Mammalia; Primates; Hominidae
Description: non-protein coding lnc-UBE2N-3:3
Source: RNAcentral
AGAACUAUAAACUGACUACACAGCUCCCUGGCCCGGGAAGGCUAUGAAACAGGCAACAUGGACAAUUUAAAGGUGUACAACAUCCGAGGUUCCAUUUCACCCUCAGGCAGCACGGAGUGGACAAGAGAUGGGGUCUCACUUUGUCACCCAGGCUGGGCUCAAACUCUUGGCUUCAAGCGAUCUUCUCGCCUUGGUCUCCCAAAGUGCUGGGAUUACAGGCUUGAACUACUGUACUCGACUGACUUUUCCUAUUUCUAAUGUCAGCAUGAAGAACACAAGAAGUCAGCUUCAAAGAGUCUAGAAGAGCAAACAUUCACUUUGCAGCCUCCCUUGUACCAAGGAGUGGCCAUGAGACAAUUCUGCCCAAUGAAUCAGAAGAGGAAUUGUGUUGAGGAUUUCUGGAAAGACUACUUCUUUUCCCAAGAAAAAGUGACAGACGCAGUAGGGGCUGAGCAACUUCCGUGCCUCUUCCAGCCUUACGGAUGUGCUGUUGGUAGCUGUGACUGCCUUGCUACUACGAGGAAAAGGAAGGCCAAGAGAAUAGCAGAGACACUCGCUCUGAUGCCUUUGAGCCAAUGAAUCAAUGCCAGAAGCAGCUGACCUCCAGAGUUCUUGUUACAGGAUUAAAAUAAAUCUCUACUUAUUUGCCAUUGUCA